This 379-nucleotide ribosomal RNA is filed under the name uncultured eukaryote. RNAcentral describes it as "partial 18S ribosomal RNA". It matches the Rfam family "Eukaryotic small subunit ribosomal RNA", at positions 592 to 976 of the family's 1831-position model. The record is from RNAcentral.
CAAUAGCGUAUAUUAAAGUUGUUGCGGUUAAAAAGCUCGUAGUUGGAUUUCUGCUGAGAACGACCGGUCCGCCCUUUGGGUGUGUAUCUGGCUCUUUCUUGGCAUCUUCUUGGCGAACGUUGCUGCACUUGACUGUGUGGAGCGCUACCCAGGACUUUUACUUUGAGGAAAUUAGAGUGUUUCAAGCAGGCAUACGCCUUGAAUACAUUAGCAUGGAAUAAUAAGAUAGGACCUGGUUACUAUUUUGUUGGUUUGCAUAGCUAGGUAAUGAUUAACAGGGACAGUUGGGGGUAUUCGUAUUUAAUUGUCAGAGGUGAAAUUCUUGGAUUUAUGAAAGACGAACGACUGCGAAAGCAUUUACCAAGGAUGUUUUCAUUAA